AUGGGCGCGGAGGUCGCCCAGAUCAGCACCUUCACCGCCGUGGCUGCCCACGCGCUCUGCCUCGCCGGCCUCGCGGCCGCCCACUCCCUCGCUGGCCGCGAUGCCCUCGUCUCCGACCCCGCACACGCCCUGCGCCUCCUCGUGGUCUGUGAGGCGCCGCUUGUCAUCGUGGUGUUCAGUCUGCUCCGGCGAGAUCCCAAACGCUGCUCGGUUUGUUGCGGUGCGAGAGAGGGUCUGAUUGCUUUUGUUUUUUUAUGGGUGUAUGUGUUUUUUUUGCUAAGUCAAUUUCUUACAAUCUGGCCUCACUUGUAA
This 312-nucleotide ribosomal RNA is filed under the name Triticum aestivum (bread wheat). RNAcentral describes it as "partial small subunit ribosomal RNA". The record is from RNAcentral. Lineage: Eukaryota; Viridiplantae; Streptophyta; Magnoliopsida; Poales; Poaceae.